RNAcentral lists this long non-coding RNA (824 nucleotides) under Gossypium barbadense (sea-island cotton). RNAcentral describes it as "long non-coding RNA (GBAR_LNC020904)". The record is from RNAcentral. Lineage: Eukaryota; Viridiplantae; Streptophyta; Magnoliopsida; Malvales; Malvaceae.
UUUUUUUUAAAGAAAAAAACAAGUGCUGCCCCUCUUUUGCUCUGCUAGGGUUUCAACCCUAGCAUCCUUGCGCUGCCGUUCGCUUGGCCAGCGCUUCGACCGCGACGAAGAUGGCCACCAUUCGGCGUCGAAGGUAAGAUCCCCCUCUCUUUCUUUAUAUUUUUUUGUAUAUAAAGUAAAAACAAAUCGAAGAACACCAAAAAAUAAAGAUAAAAUCUGAAACGAAAUCGGAGAAUCACCUAGAUGAUGUAUUCUUUUCUCUUUUUUGAAUCGUUUUUUUUGAAUUUUGUAUUCAAUUUCUUUCCGUAUCUCUGUGUGUCCCUUACAAAACGAUAAAAAUGGCCUUAUAUAGCCGAAUCAAAAGAAAAUAAAUCAAAAUUACAUCUCUUUUUCUCUGUCCUCUUUUCUAUUUUCUUUUUGUUGCUCUCUUUUUUGUUUCUUUCUUCGUUUUCCUCUCUGCUAUUCUCCUUUUCUCUGUCUAGUGCUGUUGUUCGUUUUGCAGGUACGAAGGCUGUACGAGCUGGGGACGUGGCGCAACGCGUGGAGGCGUGGUACGGUUGCUGCGGCGCUGGGAAUUGUUUGGUGCUCUAGGGUUUCUGAUGCCCCAAGUUUAGGCUAGUUUGGACUUCUGAUUUGGGCCUGUAAUGGGUUGGACAGUGGGGAGUUUAGGUUAAAACGGGUUGGGCCCCGAUAGGCCUUAUGUAUUUGGACAUUUACUUAUUAAUAUUUUUGGUUUGUAUUAUUUAUUGGGCCGGGCAAUAUUAGGGUAUUACAAGGAAAAUCAAAGAUGUGCAACUUCCACCAUUGUUAUUAAAUUGAUUCAU